UUACAGAUCCUUAUGGAUCCCCCCAGCUUUCCCCUACAUCUUCUUCCAUCCCUUACAAAUCCUUAUGGAUCCCCCCAGGUUUCCCCUACAUCUUCUUCCAUCCCUUACAAAUCCUUAUGGAUCCCCCCAGGUUUCCCCUAAAUCUUCUUCCAUCCCUUACAGAUCCUUAUGGAUUCCCCCAGCUUUCCCCUACAUCUUCAUCCAUCCCUUACAAAUCCUUAUGGAUCCCCCCAGCUUUCCCCUACAUCUUCUUCCAUCCCUUACAAAUCCUUAUGGAUCCCCCCAGGUUUCCCCUACAUCUUCUUCCAUCCCUUACAAAUCCUUAUGGAUCCCCCCAGGUUUCC
This is a long non-coding RNA of Lagopus muta (rock ptarmigan), 344 nucleotides long. RefSeq lists it as uncharacterized. The record is from RefSeq and is a predicted model, not a curated record. The transcript has 3 exons. Lineage: Eukaryota; Metazoa; Chordata; Aves; Galliformes; Phasianidae.